UACGUAGGUGACAAGCGUUGUCCGGAUUUACUGGGCGUAAAGAGCGCGCAGGCGGUCGAUCAAGUCGAGUGUGAAAGCCCCCGGCUCAACCGUGGAGGGUCAUUGGAAACUGGGGGACUUGAGUACAGAAGAGAAGAGUGGAAUUCCACGUGUAGCGGUGAAAUGCGUAGAGAUGUGGAGGAACACCAGUGGCGAAGGCGACUCUUUGGUCUGUAACUGACGCUGAGGCGCGAAAGCGUGGGGAGCAAACAGG
Molecule: ribosomal RNA, 253 nt
Filed under: uncultured bacterium
Lineage: Bacteria
Description: partial 16S ribosomal RNA
Rfam family: Bacterial small subunit ribosomal RNA
Source: RNAcentral